UACGUAGGGACCGAGCGUUGUCCGGAAUCAUUGGGCGUAAAGGGUACGUAGGCGGCCUUGUAAGUUAGAAGUGAAAGCCAUGAGCUCAACUAAUGAAAGCUUUUAAAACUGCUAGACUUGAGUGAUUGAGGGGCAAGUGGAAUUCCUAGUGUAGCGGUGAAAUGCGUAGAUAUUAGGAGGAAUACCGGUGGCGAAGGCGACUUUCUGGCCA
This 211-nucleotide ribosomal RNA is filed under the name uncultured bacterium. Its description in RNAcentral is "partial 16S ribosomal RNA". It matches the Rfam family "Bacterial small subunit ribosomal RNA", at positions 524 to 735 of the family's 1533-position model. The record is from RNAcentral.